GAACGGUGAAGCCCAGCUUGCUGGGUGGAUCAGUGGCGAACGGGUGAGUAACACGUGAGCAAUCUGCCCCUGACUCUGGGAUAAGCGCUGGAAACGGUGUCUAAUACUGGAUACGAGCCGCGACCGCAUGGUCAGUGGUUGGAAAGAUUUUUCGGUCAGGGAUGAGCUCGCGGCCUAUCAGCUUGUUGGUGAGGUAAUGGCUCACCAAGGCGUCGACGGGUAGCCGGCCUGAGAGGGUGACCGGCCACACUGGGACUGAGACACGGCCCAGACUCCUACGGGAGGCAGCAGUGGGGAAUAUUGCACAAUGGGCGCAAGCCUGAUGCAGCAACGCCGCGUGAGGGAUGACGGCCUUCGGGUUGUAAACCUCUUUUAGCAGGGAAGAAGCGGAAGUGACGGUACCUGCAGAAAAAGCGCCGGCUAACUACGUGCCAGCAGCCGCGGUAAUACGUAGGGCGCAAGCGUUAUCCGGAAUUAUUGGGCGUAAAGAGCUCGUAGGCGGUUUGUCGCGUCUGCUGUGAAAUCCCGAGGCUCAACCUCGGGCCUGCAGUGGGUACGGGCAGACUAGAGUGCGGUAGGGGAGAUUGGAAUUCCUGGUGUAGCGGUGGAAUGCGCAGAUAUCAGGAGGAACACCGAUGGCGAAGGCAGAUCUCUGGGCCGUAACUGACGCUGAGGAGCGAAAGGGUGGGGAGCAAACAGGCUUAGAUACCCUGGUAGUCCACCCCGUAAACGUUGGGAACUAGUUGUGGGGUCCAUUCCACGGAUUCCGUGACGCAGCUAACGCAUUAAGUUCCCCGCCUGGGGAGUACGGCCGCAAGGCUAAAA
RNAcentral lists this ribosomal RNA (825 nucleotides) under Microbacterium hominis. RNAcentral's name for it is "bacterial SSU rRNA". It matches the Rfam family "Bacterial small subunit ribosomal RNA", at positions 64 to 899 of the family's 1533-position model. The record is from RNAcentral. Lineage: Bacteria; Bacillati; Actinomycetota; Actinomycetes; Micrococcales; Microbacteriaceae.